GAUGAACGCUGGCGGCGUGCCUAAUACAUGCAAGUCGAGCGAACGGACGAGAAGCUUGCUUCUCUGAUGUUAGCGGCGGACGGGUGAGUAACACGUGGAUAACCUACCUAUAAGACUGGGAUAACUUCGGGAAACCGGAGCUAAUACCGGAUAAUAUUUUGAACCGCAUGGUUCAAAAAGUGAAAGACGGUCUUGCUGUCACUUAUAGAUGGAUCCGCGCUGCAUUAGCUAGUUGGUAAGGUAACGGCUUACCAAGGCAACGAUGCAUAGCCGACCUGAGAGGGUGAUCGGCCACACUGGAACUGAGACACGGUCCAGACUCCUACGGGAGGCAGCAGUAGGGAAUCUUGGACAAUGGGCGCAAGCCUGAUCCAGCCAUACCGCGUGGGUGAAGAAGGCCUUCGG
This 405-nucleotide ribosomal RNA is filed under the name uncultured bacterium. Its description in RNAcentral is "bacterial SSU rRNA". It matches the Rfam family "Bacterial small subunit ribosomal RNA", at positions 28 to 421 of the family's 1533-position model. The record is from RNAcentral.